Molecule: ribosomal RNA, 433 nt
Filed under: uncultured bacterium
Lineage: Bacteria
Description: partial 16S ribosomal RNA
Rfam family: Bacterial small subunit ribosomal RNA
Source: RNAcentral
AACGAACGCUGGCGGCAUGCCUAACACAUGCAAGUCGAACGAGACCUUCGGGUCUAGUGGCGCACGGGUGCGUAACGCGUGGGAACCUGCCCUUAGGUUCGGAAUAACUCCCCGAAAGGGGUGCUAAUACCGGAUAAUGUCUUCGGACCAAAGAUUUAUCGCCUUUGGAUGGGCCCGCGUUGGAUUAGCUAGUUGGUAGGGUAAAAGCCUACCAAGGCGACGAUCCAUAGCUGGUCUGAGAGGAUGAUCAGCCACACUGGGACUGAGACACGGCCCAGACUCCUACGGGAGGCAGCAGUGGGGAAUAUUGGACAAUGGGCGAAAGCCUGAUCCAGCAAUGCCGCGUGAGUGAUGAAGGCCUUAGGGUUGUAAAGCUCUUUUACCUGGGAUGAUAAUGACAGUACCGGGAGAAUAAGCUUCGGCUAACUCCGUG